GGGGUUGUGGCUCAGAGGUAAAGUGCUCACCUAGGAUGAGUGAGGCACUGGGUUCAAUCCUCAGCACCACA
RNAcentral lists this transfer RNA (71 nucleotides) under Marmota monax (woodchuck). RNAcentral's name for it is "tRNA.Pro". The record is from RNAcentral. Lineage: Eukaryota; Metazoa; Chordata; Mammalia; Rodentia; Sciuridae.